GACGAACGCUGGCGGCGUGCUUAACACAUGCAAGUCGAACGAAGUGGCGAACGGGUGAGUAAUACGUGAGUAACCUGCCCUCCUUUUUGGGAUAAGCCUUGGAAACGGGGUCUACUACCGAAUAUAGGGGGUUGGGCUCGCGGCCUAUCGGCUUGUGGGUGGGGUAGUGGCCUUCCAAGGCGACGACGGGUAGCCGGCCUGAGAGGGCGACCGGCCACAUGGGGACUGAGAUACGGCCCAAACUCCUACGGGAGGCAGCAGUGGGGAAUAUUGCACAAUGGGGGAAACCCUGAUGCAGCAACGCCGCUUGCGGGAUGACGGCCUUCGGAUUGUAAAGCACUUUAAGUUGGGAGACGUUACCAACAGAAUAAGCACCGGCUAACUUCGUGCCAGCAGCCGCGGUAAUAC
Molecule: ribosomal RNA, 408 nt
Filed under: uncultured bacterium
Lineage: Bacteria
Description: partial 16S ribosomal RNA
Rfam family: Bacterial small subunit ribosomal RNA
Source: RNAcentral